CCCUUAGAUGUUCUGGGCCGCACGCGUGCUACACUGAGUAAAUCAAUGGGUAAGGGAACACGAAAGUGCAACCUAAUCUUGAAAUUUGCUCGUGAUGGGGAUCGACGGUUGCAAUUUUCCGUCGUGAACGAGGAAUACCUUGUAGGCGCGUGUCAUCAUCACGCGCCGAAUACGUCCCUGCCCUUUGUACACACCGCCCGUCGCUCCUACCGAUUGAGUGAUCCGGUGAGGCUCUGGGACCUGGACGGAAAGAGCGUUUCGCUUGUUCUGUUUGGGAAACUUGGUCGAACCUUAUCAUUGAGAGGAAGGAGAAGGCGUAACA
RNAcentral lists this ribosomal RNA (322 nucleotides) under uncultured eukaryote. RNAcentral's name for it is "partial 18S ribosomal RNA". It matches the Rfam family "Eukaryotic small subunit ribosomal RNA", at positions 1470 to 1796 of the family's 1831-position model. The record is from RNAcentral.